UACAGGGGUGCAAACGUUGCUCGGAAUUAUUGGGCGUAAAGCGCGCGUAGGCGGCUACUUAAGUCGGAUGUGAAAUCCCUCGGCUCAACCGAGGAACUGCCCUCCAAACUGUUUGGCUUGAGACCGGGAGAGGUGAGUGGAAUUCCCAGUGUAGCGGUGAAAUGCGUAGAUAUUGGGAGGAACACCAGUGGCGAAGGCGGCUCACUGGACCGGUACUGACGCUGAGGCGCGAAAGCGUGGGGAGCAACGGG
Molecule: ribosomal RNA, 251 nt
Filed under: uncultured bacterium
Lineage: Bacteria
Description: partial 16S ribosomal RNA
Rfam family: Bacterial small subunit ribosomal RNA
Source: RNAcentral